CGCACCUCUCAACCACCGUAGGUCUUACCUGCGCGCUGGCUUGGAUCGUGGCCGCUGGCGAACGCACGUUUGCCCGGCCGAAAUGCAUGCGGAGCGCCAUACGCGUCGCCGCGACGUCACCCGCGUUGUAGACCCCUCGCUGGUGAUGUCGCAGCAGUGCGGCUCCCACGAAUCAUCA
Molecule: unclassified non-coding RNA, 178 nt
Filed under: uncultured Basidiomycota
Lineage: Eukaryota; Fungi; Basidiomycota
Description: sequence contains ITS2
Source: RNAcentral